CACAGUACUGACAAAUUGACAGGCUUGAUCCACGCCUGUACAGUUUCCUAUUGAACGCUGUGAGAUAAAUGAAAGCGUCGGCUAAGCUAUGUUAUGCGAAUGUAUAUGAAAAGUUUGUUCAGUGUAACACGCAGCCUCGUUACAAUU
This 147-nucleotide small nucleolar RNA is filed under the name Drosophila virilis. Its description in RNAcentral is "snoRNA:GJ25533". The record is from RNAcentral. Lineage: Eukaryota; Metazoa; Arthropoda; Insecta; Diptera; Drosophilidae.